Molecule: ribosomal RNA, 397 nt
Filed under: uncultured bacterium
Lineage: Bacteria
Description: partial 16S ribosomal RNA
Rfam family: Bacterial small subunit ribosomal RNA
Source: RNAcentral
AUACGUAGGGGGCGAGCGUUGUCCGGAAUGAUUGGGCGUAAAGGGCGCGUAGGCGGCCCGGUAAGUCUGGAGUGAAAGUCCUGCUUUUAAGGUGGGAAUUGCUUUGGAUACUGUCGGGCUUGACUUCAGGAGAGGUAAGUGGAAUUCCCAGUGUAGCGGUGAAAUGCGUAGAGAUUGGGAGGAACACCAGUGGCGAAGGCGACUUACUGGACUGUAACUGACGCUGAGGCGCGAAAGUGUGGGGAGCAAACAGGAUUAGAUACCCUGGUAGUCCACACUGUAAACGAUGAAUGCUAGGUGUAGGGGGUAUCGACCCCUUCUGUGCCGCAGUUAACACAAUAAGCAUUCCGCCUGGGGAGUACGGCCGCAAGGUUGAAACUCAAAGGAAUUGACGGGG